UACGUAGGGUGCGAGCGUUAAUCGGAAUUACUGGGCGUAAAGCGUGCGCAGGCGGUUGUGCAAGACAGAUGUGAAAUCCCCGGGCUCAACCUGGGAAUUGCAUUUGUGACUGUACGGCUAGAGUGUGUCAGAGGGGGGUAGAAUUCCACGUGUAGCAGUGAAAUGCGUAGAGAUGUGGAGGAAUACCGAUGGCGAAGGCAGCCCCCUGGGAUAACACUGACGCUCAUGCACGAAAGCGUGGGGAGCAAACAGG
This 253-nucleotide ribosomal RNA is filed under the name uncultured bacterium. RNAcentral's name for it is "partial 16S ribosomal RNA". It matches the Rfam family "Bacterial small subunit ribosomal RNA", at positions 524 to 776 of the family's 1533-position model. The record is from RNAcentral.